Urocitellus parryii (Arctic ground squirrel) is the source of this 938-nucleotide long non-coding RNA. RefSeq lists it as uncharacterized. NCBI's taxonomy places the organism in Eukaryota, Metazoa, Chordata, Mammalia, Rodentia, Sciuridae. The record is from RefSeq and is a predicted model, not a curated record.
UAACCCAAAGUUGUGGUUCCUGCGUCCAGCCUGGGUUGGUUGGUGUCAGCAGAAUGGAGGCUGAAGAAUCUCAGUGACUGACAUUGUGGAACCUCCCAAGAGCGCCUCACUGGAGUGGGCAGGAAGGGGUGCUGGCCAGGCACACUAAGAGGUCUCACAGGGCUUCGAUUGAGGCAGUGCCAACGGACAGGACAAACCCUGUUGACUCCAGGGUCUAUGGCUGUAGCAUUAGAUUUCACCGGUGUGGUGAUGAUGGGAACAGCCGUGGCAAGAAGGACAGACAGCCUCAGUGAGGAGGGGCCUCUCAUCCACACUCCCUCCAAUCUUCACCUCCUAUAAUGUGAUCAUACAUUCCAGCAGUUGUGAACACAAGUCUCUUCCAACAUUCGGAUUUCUCUCAGAAUUCUUGCCUUAUCUGAAAAGCAACCUCAUUUGUGUUUAUUGACUGCCUGAUAUGUUCAAGGCCUGCACAGAGGACCUCAGAUACAACCAAGAGGAAAAGGAGCUUUGGCUUUGGGAAAACAACAAGACUCCAACUCAUGCAGGAUUUCCAAGGUCCAGUGACCUGUCUUCUACCUUACGUGUCCAUAGGUAGCUCCAUGUUCAGCAGCUCUGGGAAGUUUUGUUCUCUGAGGAGCACAAGAGCCAGCAGAUUUCCCUCCUGAUUGCAAUGUGCAGAUCUGUCCACUAGGACCGGCUUCAGGCUUUCCUGUAUAGGACUCAAACAACUCAGGAAACAAAAGUGAGAACUGACAAACUGAAAAUUUGAAACUUAAAUCAAACAACUGCUGUACAGCAAAGGAACAGUCAAGAGAGUGGAGAGAUAACCUACGGAAGGGGACAAAGUAUUUGUCAGCUUUUUGCCUGAUGGAGGAUUAACAUCUAGAACAUAUCAAGAAUUUGAGGGCUGGGGAUGUGGCUCAAGUGGUAGUGCGCUC